AUGAGGACAAAACUAGUUCAUUGGGCUAGUGCAUUUUUUCCUACAGGAGCUAAUUGUGAAUCUAUGGAAAAUAAUCUUUGUGAGCCAUUUAACAAUGCCAUCAUAGAAUCAAGGUUCUACCCAAUUUUUUCACAGCAAGAGAUGAUAAGAAAGAAGAUGCUUGUUAGGGUGCAAGAGCAGAAGAAAUCAGCAACAUGGAAGGGCAAAAUUUGCCCAAAUAUUUUCAAGAAGCUAAACGUGAGUAUUAGAUUGACACAAUACAUUGAGGUACUCUGGAAUGGCAAGGAGGGAUUUGAGGUGCAGCACAUGAAGGGAAGAAAGAAGAAGUACACAGUAAAUCUUGAAAAGAGGGUAUGCACUUGUGGAUACUUUCAGCUGGCAGGCCUCCCUUGCUGUCAUGCUAUUGCAGCUAUUUACAAGAGUGGUACAAAGGUAGAUGACUACAUAGACAAGUGCUACUAG
Molecule: ribosomal RNA, 462 nt
Filed under: Triticum aestivum (bread wheat)
Lineage: Eukaryota; Viridiplantae; Streptophyta; Magnoliopsida; Poales; Poaceae
Description: partial small subunit ribosomal RNA
Source: RNAcentral